AAUCGGAGAAAGGCUUCAUUAAUUGAAGUGGAAUCUCGGUGCGGGAGGCAUUAACAAACAACCAACUGAGAGAUUCAAAGCCAGUUGAACUCGUCGUUAUUUCCCAUAUUAUUUAGACAAUUGUAGCAGACGAUUUUUUGUCUGAUUAAGUAGAAAUCAUUACAAGAAUUCCUAUCCAGCAGAGUUGUGCAGUGAUUCCAUAACCAACUGGAUGAUGGAAGUUUAUUGGGGAUUGCUGCUCUUCUUGAUCAGCUCGUUGAUUUCGUUUUUCUAUUAUUUCUACAGAAAACGUAUUCGUGCUACUACAACUAUUAUUGAACAAACGGAAGCACCUGUUAUUGAUCACGUGACUGUAAGUGGAAAUGCCGACGGAAUUGCUUUUAUAACUCUGCCAUCCGAUGGCCAGUGCACCAACUUGUCCCCUAUUCCUUCUUAUGAAACGUGUGUUCACAAAGAGAACGAUCCCCCGCCAAGUUACGAAAUGGCGACAGCGUUGCCGACUGGUUGACUCCCGUUUGCUGGACUUGGAUUGAUUAAAGUGCUGCUGGACUCGGUAAUUUUUGGUUGACGAAUGAUUUGACAUUUGACGAACUUUUCUGUGCCUUUAUAUACUGCAACUAAGAAAGAAACUCUGCCGCUUACGAGCAAUAAUCUGUAAAUUUAUUGACAUAAUGUGGCAACUGAGAAUUUCAUUAUUGCAUCACACACCUAUUAUCGCAACGAUCGCAACGCACGUGAAAUAUCCCCCAGUCAGUUAGUCAUCAUCAUAAGAGGACAAAGUUAUUUGAACAAGCCGACAGCACAAAUGGAUCGCCAAAUAAAACUAGAACCAGAUUAUUAACCCGGCAUUGUGCAACUUAUAACGUGUAUGUGUUUUCAAUGGUCAUAUAGCUUUAAUAAAUUAUUUCCCUAAUAA
This is a long non-coding RNA of Daphnia pulex (common water flea), 916 nucleotides long. RefSeq lists it as uncharacterized. The record is from RefSeq and is a predicted model, not a curated record. NCBI's taxonomy places the organism in Eukaryota, Metazoa, Arthropoda, Branchiopoda, Diplostraca, Daphniidae. The transcript is spliced from 2 exons.